AAAACUUGACCUGAAGUAGCAAACCACAUACAAAGUUAUGGGCACUAAAGUUCAAUGUUAUUUAAAAUGUUCCAAGGUGCUACACAUUCCUAAAGCUAAAGAAAUUAAUUUCGGCUAUUGAUAAGAAGCAAGUGUCACAUAAAUUUGCCACUCUUUUUUAUGCACAGCACCAAACUAAAAGAAACCAAAAUGAAGAACAAAAUCAAACAUAAAAUGUUAGGAACAGAAAAUACACUAAGAAUUACUAAAUGGCAAAAAAAGUACUCACGUGCACAUUUGGCAUCUAGGUAUGGUUGUGACUUGAAUAAAAGAAAUCACAUAAAAUAGUUUUAUACCUGGUUUGAAGAAUACAGAAAGCCCAAAAUCAAUGGCUUUUAGUGAAAAGUCAUCAUCCUUGUUCACCAACAAGAAAUUCUCUGGCUUUAGAUCUCUAUGCAUAACCCCAAGUGAAUGACAUGACUCAACAACACCUACAAUAAUCUUGGUCAAUUCAGCUGCUUUCCUCUCACUAUAAUGGCCCCUCUGGAUGAUUCUAUCAAACAACUCUCCGCCAGAGCAAAGCUCCAUAACAAUAUGCACGUACAAUGAAUCCUCAUAAGCUCCCUUAAUAGUUACAAUAUUCUUGUGACCAGCCAAAUGGUGCAUUAUCUGAAUCUCCCUGCGAACAUCCUCAACAUCCUCCUUGGAAAUCAAUUUCCUCUUGGAUAUAGACUUACAGGCAUAUUCAAUCCCUGUAGAAUUCUCAAUGCAUAAAUAAGUAGUCCCAAAUUGUCCUUGUCCUAAUUUACGGCCUAAAGUGUAAAGAUCACGAAUGUUUGCAGUUUUAUGACCCAAAACAUAAUAAGAUUGAGUAUCAACACCACGCCUCAUAAUUAAAUCUUUUUUUUUGGGGCUAACGAUAGGUAAAUUGUUAUCCUUUAUGGAGUUUUCCUUGGAAAAUUCUUGAGCAGCGAGGGUGGAAGGAGAAUGUUCAGAGUUGGAAUUGUCAGAGGAAGGAUUGCGCUUGGUAUGGGAAGCCGUGGAUUGUUCCUCGGGCUGAGUGUAGCCCUGAUAAAGUUUCCCUUUGAAAGAUCCGCGGCAUGUGUUGCCCAUGAAACAGUCAAAGUUUUGCUCACGGCCUUCUCUUCAUUUAAUGAUUACUCAUCAAUACCACUGACAAAAAUGACUGAAAUGAGCUAAAAAUGAGAGAGAGAUAGAAGGAAAGGGAAGAUGGUGGGGGGGAGGGGAAGAGGGAAUGAUCUGUGAGUUGCAGCUAAAAGGAAGAAAUGGAUCUUCUUAUGUUAUUAAUGUUUGAAUAUUAUGAACAGGCCUUACAUCUUCUUCAUCUUCUUGUUUUUGUUCUUGUUUUUAUUAUAGGGCUGCUCUUGCUGAGAAACAUCGGAUGAGAGUGCUGACCAGCUCUCUUCCUUUU
Molecule: unclassified non-coding RNA, 1411 nt
Filed under: Hevea brasiliensis (rubber tree)
Lineage: Eukaryota; Viridiplantae; Streptophyta; Magnoliopsida; Malpighiales; Euphorbiaceae
Source: RNAcentral